Molecule: ribosomal RNA, 452 nt
Filed under: uncultured bacterium
Lineage: Bacteria
Description: bacterial SSU rRNA
Rfam family: Bacterial small subunit ribosomal RNA
Source: RNAcentral
UCGAGAAUCUUCCGCAAUGGACGAAAGUCUGACGGAGCGACGCCGCGUGAUGGAUGAAGUCCCUCUGGGACGUAAACAUCUUUUAUGAGGGAGAAAGUUUAUUGAUAGUACCUCACGAAUAAGGGGUUGCUAAACUCGUGCCAGCAGCAGCGGUAAUACGAGUGCCCCGAGCGUUAUCCGGAAUCAUUGGGCGUAAAGGGUGUGUAGGUGGCAUUGUUAGUCACACGUUAAACCCUGGGGCUUAACCCCAGAUCUGCGUGUGAUACGGCAAAGCUAGAGGAUGGCAGGGAUGUAUGGAACUCAUGGAGUAGGGGUGAAAUCCGUUGAUAUCAUGGGGAACACCGAAAGCGAAGGCAGUACAUUGGGCCACUCCUGACACUGAAACACGAAAGCGUGGGUAGCGAAUGGGAUUAGAUACCCGAGUAGUCCCUGAGCGGGCUGGCAAGGCGCAU